Molecule: long non-coding RNA, 2128 nt
Organism: Heterocephalus glaber (naked mole-rat)
Lineage: Eukaryota; Metazoa; Chordata; Mammalia; Rodentia; Bathyergidae
Source: Ensembl
CCCUUUCUCAAACCUUAGCCAGUACUGCCAACUGUUGAUUUCCUCCAAGUAUCUUUGAGCAAGAUGGGAUUGGUGCUAAGGGACAAGGUGGGGAUGAAGGACUGCACCAUAACUUCUACUUAGAGUGGACUCCAAAGAACAGAAAUCAGGCCGUGAUGCACAAAGAAAACAGAAGCAGGAUGGCCCCGGUAGCUGGUGUUCAGAAAUCCUGAGGUUCAUUCAAGCAAUUCUCCAGCACAAGGCAAAGGAAAGGAGGCUGCACUCUGACUUGGCACAGUCCACACACAGCUCUCAGGCUACGAUUUGCUGAUUCUGUUUCUCCUUAAGGCUUUCUUUGACACUCACAUGAAGCCUGAUUUCCCCGCUAAAAGAACACAAAUGCCUGAAAGACGCAGGGAGAAGCGAUGGUUCCCUACUUGCAUUAAUUACCCUACCACCGGACAGGGACAUCCCAGGAACAAAGCAGAGCCAGCUGUGCUUCCCCUUGCAACACUGGCUUUCUAGUAUGCUCCUGACCAUAAAAUACACUGCAAAACAUGGUAGCUUCCCACCAUCUGAGCUGGGUUCGUAGAACCUCUCUUGUCCUUGUUCACCUUCUCACCUAUAAACACUUUUGGAGACACCUGUUUUAUAACCAUCCCAGUAUGGGAAAGAGAAAGGCAGGUGUUACUCCCAAGAAAGGGCCCUUACCCUUUAAGACAAAACGGAGUUGUUUGAAUUCUUCCUUUUAUCAGUAGUAAACUGAGCAAAGGAAUUGAAUAUCACUCGCUUCUGUAUCUCCAGCCCUGGCAAAGCUCCAGCUCACAAUUGCUGCUCAAUAAGUGGUGGUGAACUGCACUAAUGUCCAAGUCCUCUUGCACUGAAUUUGUUAAAUCUUGGGAUGCACACUGAAAACAGGUAAUGUACUUGCGCUUAUCCGUUUACACACACUCCCACCAUCUAGUCUCUCUCCCAACUUAAUUAUUUUCUAUGCUCAUCCACCCAGAAAGUUCAGUUAUAGGUGUAUUUUGUGUAAUAUCACAUUUUAAAUAAUAUCUAUGCUGAAUAGAAUCUAGUCUUAUGAAUUGUUGUUGAAUGAAAGAAAGUAUCAAUACACUGCAGGUAACAGGUAUUUUGGUAUGCAGUGAAUGCAAGAAAGAAAAAGUGAAUACAGCAAGCAAGCAACGCCCCUCAACAUGAAACAACUUUUCUCUUUCACUUACUAAUCUUGCUCCUUGUUUCUCUGGUCCUCCUGUCUUUUGUCGUUUUUUCUUCGUUUUUCCUCUUUUUCUUUUUUCAUGUUUUUCUUACUUGCUAGGCUUUUAAGCUGGUUGGGUACUCAAAGGAGUGACAAAAUUACCAAAGGAGUUGAGCAAUAUUACCAAAGGCACUCAGAUUUCCCAUGUGAGCUUCCUUACCCUACGUACGCCUUUUGCCCCAGAGAAAGGGUGCCCUGGUUCAAAAUAACUGUAACUAGUUCUCUACCUUUCUCUUCUCUCAUAAAGGGACAUGUAGGAAGAGUCAGAAGAGCAAACCUUUAUAGGGUCUCCUUGGGUAUCAGCUGGCCAUGGUAAAAUGACAGUAACCUACUUGUAAACUCAGACAAGUUUGCAGAGUUUAAAUACAAUUUUUUAAUCAAGCUAAUAUUCGUCAACUGCCCAUCUAUGAGUUGUUUAUUGGAAAAAAUUAACUGCCCUAAAAUGUAUUUUAAAUAACUUGUUUUGAAAUUAACACUUAAAAAAGAAAAACAUUUCACAAAAAUGGCUGUUUUCUAAGGGUUUUUUUCUACAUAUAAAUGUAUAGAUCAGAGAGCUCAGUUAAUGACAUCUGGUAAAACUGGCUUUUAAAUAUGUUAUUCAUUCUUUGCUCAAGAGUUUUGCUCUAAGUUUUCUGAUAAAAUAAAUACUAUAAUUUCCCACUUUCUUGAUAAUUUUCCUCUCCCUUCCUUUUCUGUUCCAAAGCAUGUAUAUUUCUAUCUUCAACCAAUCUCAACAUGAGGUUUUUAAAAGUUCUAUCUAUGAGCAUAGGAUUUUCCCUUAAAGACACUGUCCUAAUCAAGCCUAAGUUCAUUUCAGUCAAAAUUUCAAAUGUAUCAGAGCGCUGAUUCUAUUUGUUAAAUUAUAUCAGAGUAUAACUAUCCCAUUAAAUU